AUUGAACGCUGGCGGCAGGCCUAACACAUGCAAGUCGAGCGGAUGAAGGGAGCUUGCUCCUGGAUUCAGCGGCGGACGGGUGAGUAAUGCCUAGGAAUCUGCCUGGUAGUGGGGGAUAACGUCCGGAAACGGGCGCUAAUACCGCAUACGUCCUGAGGGAGAAAGUGGGGGAUCUUCGGACCUCACGCUAUCAGAUGAGCCUAGGUCGGAUUAGCUAGUUGGUGGGGUAAAGGCCUACCAAGGCGACGAUCCGUAACUGGUCUGAGAGGAUGAUCAGUCACAUUGGAACUGAGACACGGUCCGUACUCCUACGGUGGGCCGCAGUGGGGAAUAUUGGACAAUGUGCGAAAGCCUAAUCCAGCCAUGCCGCGUGUGUGAAGAAGGUCUUCGGAUUGUAAAGCACUUUAAGUUGGGAGGAAGGGCAGUAAGUUAAUACCUUGCUGUUUUGACGUUACCAACAUAAUAAGCACCGGCUAACUUCGUG
This 484-nucleotide ribosomal RNA is filed under the name uncultured bacterium. RNAcentral's name for it is "partial 16S ribosomal RNA". It matches the Rfam family "Bacterial small subunit ribosomal RNA", at positions 30 to 507 of the family's 1533-position model. The record is from RNAcentral.